CUUAAAUUGAAGAGUUUGAUCAUGGCUCAGAUUGAACGCUGGCGGCAGGCCUAACACAUGCAAGUCGAGCGGUAGCACAGAAGAGCUUGCUCUUCGGGUGACGAGCGGCGGACGGGUGAGUAAUGUCUGGGAAACUGCCUGAUGGAGGGGGAUAACUACUGGAAACGGUAGCUAAUACCGCAUAACGUCUUCGGACCAAAGAGGGGGACCUUCGGGCCUCUUGCCAUCAGAUGUGCCCAGAUGGGAUUAGCUAGUAGGCGGGGUAAUGGCCCACCUAGGCGACGAUCCCUAGCUGGUCUGAGAGGAUGACCAGCCACACUGGAACUGAGACACGGUCCAGACUCCUACGGGAGGCAGCAGUGGGGAAUAUUGCACAAUGGGCGCAAGCCUGAUGCAGCCAUGCCGCGUGUGUGAAGAAGGCCUUCGGGUUGUAAAGCACUUUCAGCGGGGAGGAAGGCAGUUCAAUGGGCGCAAGCCUGAUGCAGCCAUGCCGCGUGUGUGAAGAAGGCCUUCGGGUUGUAAAGCACUUUCAGCGGGGAGGAAGGCAGUGAGGUUAAUAACCUUGCUGAUUGACGUUACCCGCAGAAGAAGCACCGGCUAACUCCGUGCCAGCAGCCGCGGUAAUACGGAGGGUGCAAGCGUUAAUCGGAUUGAUUGACGUUACCCGCAGAAGAAGCACCGGCUAACUCCGUGCCAGCAGCCGCGGUAAUACGGAGGGUGCAAGCGUUAAUCGGAAUGACUGGGCGUAAAGCGCACGCAGGCGGUCUGUUAAGUUGGAUGUGAAAUCCCCGGGCUUAACCUGGGAACUGCAUUCAAAACUGACAGGCUAGAGUCUUGUAGAGGGGGGUAGAAUUCCAGGUGUAGCGGUGAAAUGCGUAGAGAUCUGGAGGAAUACCGGUGGCGAAGGCGGCCCCCUGGACAAAGACUGACGCUCAGGUGCGAAAGCGUGGGGAGCAAACAGGAUUAGAUACCCUGGUAGUCCACGCUGUAAACGAUGUCGACUUGGAGGUUGUGCCCUUGAGGCGUGGCUUCCGGAGCUAACGCGUUAAGUCGACCGCCUGGGGAGUACGGCCGCAAGGUUAAAACUCAAAUGAAUUGACGGGGGCCCGCACAAGCGGUGGAGCAUGUGGUUUAAUUCGAUGCAACGCGAAGAACCUUACCUACUCUUGACAUCCAGAGAAUUUGCUAGAGAUAGCUUAGUGCCUUCGGGAACUCUGAGACAGGUGCUGCAUGGCUGUCGUCAGCUCGUGUUGUGAAAUGUUGGGUUAAGUCCCGCAACGAGCGCAACCCUUAUCCUUUGUUGCCAGCACGUAAUGGUGGGAACUCAAAGGAGACUGCCGGUGAUAAACCGGAGGAAGGUGGGGAUGACGUCAAGUCAUCAUGGCCCUUACGAGUAGGGCUACACACGUGCUACAAUGGCGUAUACAAAGAGAAGCGACCUCGCGAGAGCAAGCGGACCUCAUAAAGUACGUCGUAGUCCGGAUUGGAGUCUGCAACUCGACUCCAUGAAGUCGGAAUCGCUAGUAAUCGUAGAUCAGAAUGCUACGGUGAAUACGUUCCCGGGCCUUGUACACACCGCCCGUCACACCAUGGGAGUGGGUUGCAAAAGAAGUAGGUAGCUUAACCUUCGGGAGGGCGCUUACCACUUUGUGAUUCAUGACUGGGGUGAAGUCGUAACAAGGUAACCGUAGGGGAACCUGCGGUUGGAUCACCUCCUUACC
RNAcentral lists this ribosomal RNA (1721 nucleotides) under Pectobacterium carotovorum subsp. carotovorum UGC32. RNAcentral describes it as "bacterial SSU rRNA". It matches the Rfam family "Bacterial small subunit ribosomal RNA". Lineage: Bacteria; Pseudomonadati; Pseudomonadota; Gammaproteobacteria; Enterobacterales; Pectobacteriaceae. The record is from RNAcentral.